RNAcentral lists this ribosomal RNA (253 nucleotides) under uncultured bacterium. Its description in RNAcentral is "partial 16S ribosomal RNA". It matches the Rfam family "Bacterial small subunit ribosomal RNA", at positions 524 to 776 of the family's 1533-position model. The record is from RNAcentral.
UACGAAGGGGGCUAGCGUUGUUCGGAAUUACUGGGCGUAAAGGGCGCGUAGGCGGCCUUCUAAGUCAGACGUGAAAUCCCCCGGCUUAACCUGGGAACUGCGUCUGAUACUGGAGGGCUUGAGUAUGGGAGAGGGACGUAGAAUUCCAGGUGUAGCGGUGAAAUGCGUAGAUAUCUGGAGGAAUACCGGUGGCGAAGGCGGCAUCCUGGACCAUUACUGACGCUGAGGCGCGAAAGCUAGGGGAGCAAACGGG